Theobroma cacao (cacao) is the source of this 1642-nucleotide RNA transcript. It is a transcript of the gene named 14-3-3-like protein B, with no coding region annotated. The record is from RefSeq and is a predicted model, not a curated record. Lineage: Eukaryota; Viridiplantae; Streptophyta; Magnoliopsida; Malvales; Malvaceae.
AUCAGAAAAGAUAAAUGCAUACCUAAAUUGCUUGUUCGUGAUCAAAAACCCAGAGGACAAGGUCGGUGGUAAAGGAGGACUAGAAAUAGGCAAGGUACUAGUUACGGCCGGCCAUUAUAUAACGGCGGAAGACAAAAAAACAGCGAAGGAUUUUGAUGCCGCGUGACACCAAACGGGAGCGUGGCACGUUCUGAUUGGCCCAAGUAAAUAAGGACUUUUGUCUGGACUGCUGACUCUCAACCAACCCAAGUCCGCUGUCCGAAUUUGGGUCCUCAUUGGACGAGCGAAAUUAUUAAGGUGCAAAAGAGUAGACAAAGAAAGCGAGUGAGAGAAUCUCUCCUACGGCAUAGAUUUGCAACAGCAGAAUCCUCUCAAUAUAAAACCCUAAAUAAUUGGUGUGCUAUUUGCGUGAGAUCAGCUAUGGCUUCUUCUAAAGAGCGCGAGAAUUUCGUCUACGUCGCCAAGCUCGCUGAACAGGCUGAGCGCUACGAUGAGAUGGUGGAGGCUAUGAAGAACGUGGCAAAGCUUGAUGUUGAAUUGACAGUGGAAGAGAGGAACUUGCUGUCUGUUGGGUACAAGAAUGUGAUUGGUGCUCGGAGAGCUUCAUGGAGGAUUCUUUCCUCUAUAGAGCAAAAGGAAGAUGCUAAAGGAAAUGAGGUGAAUGCAAAGCGGAUCAAGGAGUACAGGCACAAGGUUGAAUCUGAGCUCUCAAGCAUCUGUAAUGAUAUUAUGACUGUGAUUGAUGAACAUCUCAUCCCUUCAGCAUCUGCUGGUGAAUCAACUGUCUUCUUCUAUAAGAUGAAAGCAGAUUAUUAUCGUUAUCUUGCUGAAUUCAAAGCAGGCAAUGAGAAGAAAGAGGCUGCUGAUCAUUCUAUGAAGGCAUAUGAGACAGCUACCGCUACUGCAGAGGCUGAGUUGCCUCCUACACAUCCUAUCCGUUUGGGUUUAGCCUUGAAUUUCUCAGUCUUCUAUUAUGAGAUUAUGAAUACUCCUGAGAGGGCCUGCCAUCUUGCCAAGCAAGCUUUUGAUGAAGCUAUAGCAGAGCUUGACACCCUCAGUGAGGAGUCUUACAAAGACAGCACCUUAAUUAUGCAGCUUCUAAGGGACAACCUCACCCUUUGGACUUCUGACAUCACAGAGGAUCCAGAACUGGAGACUAUUCAUGCAGUAGGAGCGGAGAACUGCAUAUAAAAAGAAGAUUCCAUGAGGGACUCCACUGGCAGAUCUGGUGCGGGAGAUGAUGCAGAGUGAAAACAACAGCUUGUGAUAUCGCCUAAGCUUGCGGGAAAUUCUGCCCUUGUGACUUGAUGUGUUUGGGGAAUGACUGGUAUCUGAUAGCCAAUGUUAGAUUAAAUAUAUACCAUCAGUUAAUUCACUCUUGUGUUUUUCUCUCCCUCUCGAAGUGCCAUGUUGUGUUGUGGUUUAUUAUUGCGUGAUGUCUAGACGAGGUUGGUUCAAUUUGUAGUGAGCAGCUUUUGCUCGAGACUAGGCAUUAGGAUUGCUCUGAUUGCCUUUUCUUUUUGGGUGUAAAUGGUACAAACACAGAUGGAGGAAAUCUGCUGUUUGGUUUUCCUCACUACCUUAAAAGCUUACAUUUGGGUUUAUGGUUCCUUGAUCGCCAGCCAGCCAUUGCUAGUAUAAA